RNAcentral lists this RNase P RNA (396 nucleotides) under Spirochaetaceae bacterium. Its description in RNAcentral is "RNase P RNA component class A". It matches the Rfam family "Bacterial RNase P class A". Rfam says of the family: Ribonuclease P (RNase P) is a ubiquitous endoribonuclease, found in archaea, bacteria and eukarya as well as chloroplasts and mitochondria. Its best characterised activity is the generation of mature 5'-ends of tRNAs by cleaving the 5'-leader elements of precursor-tRNAs. Cellular RNase Ps are ribonucleoproteins. Lineage: Bacteria; Pseudomonadati; Spirochaetota; Spirochaetia; Spirochaetales; Spirochaetaceae. The record is from RNAcentral.
AUAACAGGACGGAUUGCCGCUGCAGAUUGAAGGUUGCAUAGGUGAGCAGCAAGUCUGCUUGCGACCAGCCUAUUUCAGUAGAGGAAAGUCCGGGCUCCAUAGAGAAUGAUGCCGGGUAACGCCCGGGUGGUUUUUAAUGAACCAACAGAUAGUGCCACAGAAAAUAUACCGCCCUGGUAAUUUAUUAUCGGGGUAAGGGUGAAAAGGCGGGGUAAGAGCCCACCGGUUUUCCCGAAAGGGAAAGCGCAUGGUAAACCUCAUCAGGAGCAAGGUCAAGCAGUAGAUGAAUUUCUCGUUCUUAUUCUACGGGUAGAUCGCUAGUAUCAUUUCCGGUAACGGAAAUGUCAGAUAGAUGGCAAUCGAUUACAGAACCCGGCUUAUAGUCCUGUUAUCUUU